This 1490-nucleotide ribosomal RNA is filed under the name Macrostylis sp. ML12b. Its description in RNAcentral is "SSU rRNA". It matches the Rfam family "Eukaryotic small subunit ribosomal RNA", at positions 52 to 1296 of the family's 1831-position model. The record is from RNAcentral. Lineage: Eukaryota; Metazoa; Arthropoda; Malacostraca; Isopoda; Macrostylidae.
UGCAUGUCUGAGUACAGACCGAUCUAAGGUGAAACCGCGAAUGGCUCAUUAAAUCAGUCGUAAUUUCUUGGAUAGUGAAAAACUUUCCUCGGAUAACUGUGGAAAAUCCAGAGCUAAUACGUGCAACUGAGCUCCGACCUCGGCGAGAGCCUUGGGAAGAGCGCAUUUAUUAGAUUCAAAACUGACCGGUGUACUCCUUCGGGAUACGCCGUUUGUCAAAUGUUUGAUGACUCCGGAUAACUUAGCCGAGCGCUACGGUCUCUGUGCCGGCGCCGUAUCUUUCAAGUGUCUGCCUUAUCAGCUUUCGAUUGUAGGUUAAACGCCUACAAUGGCUGUAACGGGUAACGGGGAAUCAGGGUUCGAUUCCGGAGAGGGAGCCUGAGAAACGGCUACCACAUCUAAGGAAGGCAGCAGGCACGCAAAUUACCCACUCCCAGCCCGGGGAGGUAGUGACGAAAAAUAACGAUGCGAGACUCUUCCGAGGCCUCGCAAUCGGAAUGAGUCCAUCCUAAAUCUUUGGACGAGGAUCCAUUGGAGGGCAAGUCUGGUGCCAGCAGCCGCGGUAAUUCCAGCUCCAAUAGCGUAUAUUAAAGUUGCUGCGGUUAAAAAGCUCGUAGUUGGACUUUCUAGAUCCAUUUCGUGGGUGAGUCGCUCGUCGCUCUGGAGUGUCGCGUCAGUCACUAGAUAACUUUGCGUUUCGGCGUAUGUUUACUAAGGCUAGCCGGGUCGGUGUGCGUUCGUGAUUAUUCUAUAAUAGCGCGGGCGUUGCAUCGGCUUUGUGCCUACCGAUAGGAGCAACGUGGGUUCGCGAUGACCAACCUUCUAGCGGACGGCGACUCUCUGUCUUCGAGUAUAGCUCGCCCGCGUUUGGUACAAUUAAAAUUUUGUCGGCUCGCUCGGAGUGCUCUUUACCGAGUGUUCCAGGGUGGCCGACACGUUCACUUUGAAAAAAUUAGAGUGCUUAAAGCGGGCUUUAACACGGCCGGAAUGUCUGUGCAUGGAAUGAAGUAACAGGACCUCGAUUCUGUUCUUUUUGUCGGUUUUAAUGAACCGAGGUAAUGAUUAAAAGGGACAGACGGUGGCAUUAGUAUUGCGGCGCUAGAGGUGAAAUUCUUGGACCGUCGCAAGACUAACUACUGCGAAAGCAUUUGCCGAGAAUGUUUUCAUUAAUCAAGAACGAAAGUUAGAGGAUCGAAGGCGAUCAGAUACCGCCCUAGUUCUAACCCUAAACUAUGCUAACUAGCGAUCCGCCGAAGUCAUUCCCACGACUCGGCGGGAAGCCCCAGGGAAACCAAAGUCUUUGAGUUCCGGGGGAAGUAUGGUUGCAAAGCUGAAACUUAAAGGAAUUGACGGAAGGGCACCACCAGGAGUGGAGCCUGCGGCUUAAUUUGACUCAACACGGGAAACCUCACCAGGCCCGGACAUCAUAAGGAUUGACAGAUUGAGAGCUCUUUCUCGAUUUGAUGGGUGGUGGUGCAUGGCCGUUCUUA